This 851-nucleotide ribosomal RNA is filed under the name Paenibacillus sp. RM132. RNAcentral describes it as "bacterial SSU rRNA". It matches the Rfam family "Bacterial small subunit ribosomal RNA", at positions 374 to 1218 of the family's 1533-position model. Lineage: Bacteria; Bacillati; Bacillota; Bacilli; Caryophanales; Paenibacillaceae. The record is from RNAcentral.
GGCGAAAGCCUGACGGAGCAAUGCCGCGUGAGUGAUGAAGGUUUUCGGAUCGUAAAGCUCUGUUGCCAGGGAAGAACGUCCUUGAGAGUAACUGCUCAAGGAGUGACGGUACCUGAGAAGAAAGCCCCGGCUAACUACGUGCCAGCAGCCGCGGUAAUACGUAGGGGGCAAGCGUUGUCCGGAAUUAUUGGGCGUAAAGCGCGCGCAGGCGGUCAUUUAAGUCUGGUGUUUAAUCCCGGGGCUCAACCCCGGAUCGCACUGGAAACUGGAUGACUUGAGUGCAGAAGAGGAGAGUGGAAUUCCACGUGUAGCGGUGAAAUGCGUAGAGAUGUGGAGGAACACCAGUGGCGAAGGCGACUCUCUGGGCUGUAACUGACGCUGAGGCGCGAAAGCGUGGGGAGCAAACAGGAUUAGAUACCCCGGUAGUCCACGCCGUAAACGAUGAAUGCUAGGUGUUAGGGGUUUCGAUACCCUUGGUGCCGAAGUUAACACAUUAAGCAUUCCGCCUGGGGAGUACGGUCGCAAGACUGAAACUCAAAGGAAUUGACGGGGACCCGCACAAGCAGUGGAGUAUGUGGUUUAAUUCGAAGCAACGCGAAGAACCUUACCAGGUCUUGACAUCCCUCUGACCGUCCUAGAGAUAGGGCUUUCCUUCGGGACAGAGGAGACAGGUGGUGCAUGGUUGUCGUCAGCUCGUGUCGUGAGAUGUUGGGUUAAGUCCCGCAACGAGCGCAACCCUUGAUCUUAGUUGCCAGCACUUCGGGUGGGCACUCUAAGGUGACUGCCGGUGACAAACCGGAGGAAGGUGGGGAUGACGUCAAAUCAUCAUGCCCCUUAUGACUCGGGUCACA